RNAcentral lists this ribosomal RNA (398 nucleotides) under uncultured bacterium. Its description in RNAcentral is "partial 16S ribosomal RNA". It matches the Rfam family "Bacterial small subunit ribosomal RNA", at positions 523 to 918 of the family's 1533-position model. The record is from RNAcentral.
AUACGUAGGGUGCGAGCGUUGUCCGGAAUUACUGGGCGUAAAGAGCUCGUAGGUGGUUUGUCGCGUCGUCUGUGAAAUUCCGGGGCUUAACUCCGGGCGUGCAGGCGAUACGGGCAUAACUUGAGUACUGUAGGGGAGACUGGAAUUCCUGGUGUAGCGGUGAAAUGCGCAGAUAUCAGGAGGAACACCGGUGGCGAAGGCGGGUUUCUGGGCAGUAACUGACGCUGAGGAGCGAAGGCAUGGGUAGCGAACAGGAUUAGAUACCCUGGUAGUCCAGGCCGUAAACGGUGGGCGCUAGGUGUAGGGGUCUUCCACGACUUCUGUGCCGUAGCUAACGCAUUAAGCGCCCCGCCUGGGGAGUACGGCCGCAAGGCUAAAACUCAAAUGAAUUGACGGGG